Molecule: ribosomal RNA, 328 nt
Filed under: uncultured eukaryote
Lineage: Eukaryota
Description: partial 18S ribosomal RNA
Rfam family: Eukaryotic small subunit ribosomal RNA
Source: RNAcentral
CCCUUAGAUGUUCUGGGCCGCACGCGCGCUACACUGAUACGUUCAGCAAGUUUGCAACCUUGACCGGGAGGUCCGGGUAAUCUUUGAAAGCGUAUCGUGAUGGGGAUAGAUUAUUGCAAUUGUUAAUCUUCAACGAGGAAUUCCUAGUAAACGCAAGUCAUCAGCUUGCAUUGAUUACGUCCCUGCCCUUUGUACACACCGCCCGUCGCUACUACCGAUUGAAUGGUUUAGUGAGUAUCACGGACUGUCGCGCUUGCCAGGGCAACCUGGUUUGCGCGAGGGGAAGUGACGCUAACUUGACCAUUUAGAGGAAGUAAAAGUCGUAACA